Molecule: ribosomal RNA, 83 nt
Filed under: Acanthosepion pharaonis
Lineage: Eukaryota; Metazoa; Mollusca; Cephalopoda; Sepiida; Sepiidae
Source: RNAcentral
UCACGAAAACACCGGUUCUCGUUCGAUCACCGAAGUUAAGCAUCGUAGAAGGUCAGUACUUAGAUGGGGGACCGCUUGGGAAC